Molecule: ribosomal RNA, 433 nt
Filed under: uncultured bacterium
Lineage: Bacteria
Description: partial 16S ribosomal RNA
Rfam family: Bacterial small subunit ribosomal RNA
Source: RNAcentral
AACGAACGCUGGCGGCAUGCCUAACACAUGCAAGUCGAACGAGACCUUCGGGUCUAGUGGCGCACGGGUGCGUAACGCGUGGGAACCUGCCCUUAGGUUCGGAAUAACUCCCCGAAAGGGGUGCUAAUACCGGAUAAUGUCUUCGGACCAAAGAUUUAUCGCCUUUGGAUGGGCCCGCGUUGGAUUAGCUAGUUGGUAGGGUAAAAGCCUACCAAGGCGACGAUCCAUAGCUGGUCUGAGAGGAUGACCAGCCACACUGGGACUGAGACACGGCCCAGACUCCUACGGGAGGCAGCAGUGGGGAAUAUUGGACAAUGGGCGAGCGCCUGAUCCAGCAAUGCCGCGUGAGUGAUGCAGGCCUUAGGGUUGUAAAUCUCUUUUACCCGGGAUGAUAAUGACAGUCCCGGGAGAAUAAGCUCCGGCUAACUCCGUG